RNAcentral lists this non-coding RNA (24 nucleotides) under Cricetulus griseus (Chinese hamster). The record is from RNAcentral. Lineage: Eukaryota; Metazoa; Chordata; Mammalia; Rodentia; Cricetidae.
CACAUGGUGGAAGGAAAGAACAGA